This 601-nucleotide unclassified non-coding RNA is filed under the name Hevea brasiliensis (rubber tree). The record is from RNAcentral. Lineage: Eukaryota; Viridiplantae; Streptophyta; Magnoliopsida; Malpighiales; Euphorbiaceae.
GUCCCAUGCAAAAUGCAGAACUUAAAUAAGGUUUACACAGAAUUAUAGCAAAAUUGCUCAAAAACCCACAUUUAGGAUCGAUUCAUAACGCACAAUUACUAUCAUAAAGGUUUCGAAUUGCUCUCUGUUACCUAUAAUUGUUAACAAUUCUUAAGCACCUAAUCACUACCACUCAUAUAAUUUUUAAGCAACGAAAAGCACAACAAGAGAGCUCUCAUACAAAUACCAAACAAGGAAUUGGGUCAAUAAUAGACAUAUAAAUUGUUAACAAGAAGGAAUAACAAAAAGAACAAAGUAAGGUUUUUGAGAGAAAACUACAAGAACGUAAGGAAACAGGAAUCGAGAUAUGAUUCUCGAAGGAAAUGACCGACGUAGAUGGGGCAUGGAUUGGAGUCCCGUGAAGACGAAGAGUGAUUCUCGUUGCUUUUAGCUUCAUCUUGGUCCAUUGUUUUCCUUGAAUUCGCUGGAUUUCUAGUUCCCACUUCAAUGGCGCCUUCAACCUAGACCCGGCCACACGUGCAGAGGACCUGAUCCGGUUAUGGUUCUCCCCAGUGAAUUUGCAUUGGAACCAGCCAGCUCGAAUCAGUGACUUCAAUCCGAU